GACGAACGCUGGCGGCGUGCUUAACACAUGCAAGUCGAACGGAAAGGCCCUGCUUUUGUGGGGUGCUCGAGUGGCGAACGGGUGAGUAACACGUGAGUAACCUGCCCUUGACUUUGGGAUAACUUCAGGAAACUGGGGCUAAUACCGGAUAGGAGCUCCUGCUGCAUGGUGGGGGUUGGAAAGUUUCGGCGGUUGGGGAUGGACUCGCGGCUUAUCAGCUUGUUGGUGGGGUAGUGGCUUACCAAGGCUUUGACGGGUAGCCGGCCUGAGAGGGUGACCGGCCACAUUGGGACUGAGAUACGGCCCAGACUCCUACGGGAGGCAGCAGUGGGGAAUAUUGCACAAUGGGCGGAAGCCUGAUGCAGCAACGCCGCGUGCGGGAUGACGGCCUUCAGGUUGUAAACCGCCUUCGCCUGUGACGAAGCGUGAGUGACGGUAAUGGGUAAAGAAGCACCGGCUAACUACGU
This 467-nucleotide ribosomal RNA is filed under the name uncultured bacterium. RNAcentral's name for it is "partial 16S ribosomal RNA". It matches the Rfam family "Bacterial small subunit ribosomal RNA", at positions 28 to 506 of the family's 1533-position model. The record is from RNAcentral.